AGCAUGGUACGAAUGCUGGUCAGGAUUACAUCUUUCUUAAUGGCUAUCAUCCUGGCUAUUUAUUUGCCAUGCCACCCU
Molecule: Y RNA, 78 nt
Filed under: Salmonella enterica subsp. enterica serovar Kentucky str. CDC 191
Lineage: Bacteria; Pseudomonadati; Pseudomonadota; Gammaproteobacteria; Enterobacterales; Enterobacteriaceae
Description: Y RNA-like
Rfam family: Y RNA-like
About the family: In Deinococcus radiodurans Rsr is tethered via Y RNA to the exoribonuclease PNPase and channels single-stranded RNA into the PNPase cavity. Rsr and Y RNA enhance degradation of structured RNAs by PNPase.
Source: Rfam by way of RNAcentral